This is a long non-coding RNA of Oryctolagus cuniculus (rabbit), 1634 nucleotides long. The record is from Ensembl. Lineage: Eukaryota; Metazoa; Chordata; Mammalia; Lagomorpha; Leporidae.
GCUUUCUUUUGGCCGUUGGCUGGGUCUUCCAAGCUUCCGGGACAGCGUCAAGGAGGCGUGGCCGCUGUCUUGAGGACAAGUCCUCGAUGUGCCCUCUGACGCUGGCACGAGCGUGUUCUGGACCCGUGCCGUGCCCCCAGGCAGCUGGGGAGUUGUCUGCCGUGUAGUCCGGCGGCCACCAGGAGAAUCUGACCCAGUGUCCUGGAUGGGCCAGUUCCCAGUCGUGCGCUCGUGGCCCAGACCAGACCCGGGCUGGUGUGUGGAGCCAGCCACGCGGGCCCGUCUGUCCUCCGUGCCCUGAGUGGGCGCAGAUGAGAGAGGGCGCGGUUGCUCCGUCCGCUUUUCUCCCCUCUCGCCCCCGUGCGGGGAGCCGUCCAGCGGGGCCUGGCUGGACUGAGCCCGUGCCGGACACGGUGCUCAGUUGCCGUCCUGGAGGGCCCAGAGGAUUGCUCGAGGUGUGCCCACCAGGCCCCUCCCCUGAGACAGGGGGCUGGCUGGGUGCCGUCAGGCUCUUUCUUGGCUCCCCCUGGAACCCGGAGGUGGCCCUUGCCUGGUUCCUGGAUCCUUUCACUUCCCCUUCCUCGUCGCCUUGCCGUGUGGAAGGGAAGGGCCGCUCUUAGCCCGCCAGCCCUGGCCAAGGAGGGGAACCCACUUGGAGGGUGGGGUGGCACCAAGGCCUUGCGCGGCCCAACGCACAAGGGGGGAUGGCGGGCCCUCGCCCUGGCCCCGGUGCCACCAGUUUCCCUUGGUCGGGAUUCUUUGUGGCCUAGGCAGGCAGGCGCCCAUGCUGUCUCCGCACUGACCUAGGCACCCACCCACAUGAGGCGUCGGGAGGUGUGGGGCCGGGAGAACAUUUCUCUGCCUGGUUUCCUAGGCGGAGGCAGGUGUGUUGUCGGCAAAGACCCUCACUCAGGCCAAGUGUGUGAUGUCUCUUCUUCUUCCGCAGACGCCGAGCCCGGCACCCGGGAACCUGUUCCGGACGUGCCGCUCCCAACCAUGACUCCCAGCACCGAGGCUGACCACGACCACGACCACGACCACGACCACGACCACGACGCCGAGCCCGGCACCCGGGAACCUGUUCCGGACGUGCCGCUCCCAACCAUGACUCCCAGCACCGAGGAGGCUGACCACGACCACGACCACGACCACGACCCCGACCCCGAGCACGACCACGACCACGACCACGACCACGACCACGACCACGGUAGGGGCCCGUGUGCCUUGUGUCCUCUGCCCCUGGGAGCCCGCUGGGUUGCCGGGGCUCCUUGAGCGAGAACGGGCUUUCCUAUUGCCUCCGGGACCGGGAAGGUGUCGCCAUGCGAUUCCUUGUCCCGAAACGCUGGCCUGUGCUCUGGAGCUGCGGGGACGUCCUCGGGGCUCUGCCCGGGAAGGAUGUGCUCUCUGGGGAGAGAGGGGCCGCGGUGCGAGUCAGGCGCUCCGAGACGGGGCCGUGUGUCCUCCCGGGUGCUCUGGUUGGCUGCACGCUGCCUGGGCCUGUCCGCAGGUUGUCCGUUUCUCUGCGUGGUGGUCUGCUGACCCGUGCGGGAGGGGCGUAGGCUUCUCGCCCUCCACGUCUGCUCCCGCCAUGACCACCCGGGGGUCUGGUGCAGCACUCCCAGCCGCAUGCCUGG